UACCUGCAGCUCAAGUGGUGACCAUUAUUAUUGGGCCUAAAACGUCCGUAGCCGGCUUAGUAAAUGCCUGGGUAAAUCGUGUAGCUUAACUAUACGAAUUCCGGGUAGACUGCUAAGCUUGAGACCGGGAGAAGCUAGAGGUACUCCUUGGGUAGAGGUGAAAUUCUGUAAUCCUAGGGGGACCACCAGUGGCGAAGGCGUCUAGCUAGAACGGGUCUGACGGUGAGGGACGAAGCCCUGGGGCGCAAACGGGAUUAGAUACCCCGGUAGUCCAGGGUGUAAACGCUGCUUGCUUGAUGUUAGUCUGGCUCCGAGCCAGAUUAGUGUCGGAGAGAAGUUGUUAAGCAAGCUGCCUGGGAAGUACGGCCGCAAGACUGAAACUUAAAGGAAUUGGGCGGGGGAGCACAGCAACGGGUGGAGCGUGCGGUUU
Molecule: ribosomal RNA, 430 nt
Filed under: uncultured archaeon
Lineage: Archaea
Description: bacterial SSU rRNA
Rfam family: Archaeal small subunit ribosomal RNA
Source: RNAcentral